GACGAACGCUGGCGGCGUGCUUAACACAUGCAAGUCGAACGGAAAGGCCCUGCUUGCAGGGUACUCGAGUGGCGAACGGGUGAGUAACACGUGGGUGAUCUGCCCUACACUUCGGGAUAAGCCUGGGAAACUGGGUCUAAUACCGGAUAUGACCUUCCAUGUAGUGUGGGGGGUGGAAAGAUUUAUCGGUGUGGGAUGAGCCCGCGGCCUAUCAGCUUGUUGGUGGGGUAAUGGCCUACCAAGGCGUCGACGGGUAGCCGGCCUGAGAGGGUGGACGGCCACAUUGGGACUGAGAUACGGCCCAGACUCCUACGGGAGGCAGCAGUGGGGAAUAUUGCACAAUGGGCGGAAGCCUGAUGCAGCGACGCCGCGUGGGGGAUGACGGCCUUCGGGUUGUAAACCUCUUUCGACAGGGACGAAGCUUCGGUGACGGUACCUGUAUAAGAAGCACCGGCUAACUACGUG
This 465-nucleotide ribosomal RNA is filed under the name uncultured bacterium. Its description in RNAcentral is "partial 16S ribosomal RNA". It matches the Rfam family "Bacterial small subunit ribosomal RNA", at positions 28 to 507 of the family's 1533-position model. The record is from RNAcentral.